RNAcentral lists this ribosomal RNA (395 nucleotides) under uncultured bacterium. RNAcentral describes it as "bacterial SSU rRNA". It matches the Rfam family "Bacterial small subunit ribosomal RNA", at positions 30 to 425 of the family's 1533-position model. The record is from RNAcentral.
AUUGAACGCUGGCGGCAUGCCUUACACAUGCAAGUCGAACGGCAGCACGGGAGCAAUCCUGGUGGCGAGUGGCGAACGGGUGAGUAAUAUAUCGGAACGUGCCCAGUCGUGGGGGAUAACGUAGCGAAAGCUACGCUAAUACCGCAUACGAUCUAUGGAUGAAAGCGGGGGAUCGCAAGACCUCGCGCGAUUGGAGCGGCCGAUAUCAGAUUAGGUAGUUGGUGAGGUAAAGGCUCACCAAGCCGACGAUCUGUAGCUGGUCUGAGAGGACGACCAGCCACACUGGGACUGAGACACGGCCCAGACUCCUACGGGAGGCAGCAGUGGGGAAUUUUUGGGACAAUGGGCGCAAGCCUGAUCCAGCAAUGCCGCGUGCAGGAUGAAGGCCUCGGUUG